UACGAAGGGGGCUAGCGUUGUUCGGAAUUACUGGGCGUAAAGCGCACGUAGGCGGGUCUGUAAGUAGAGGGUGAAAUCCCAGGGCUCAACCCUGGAACUGCCUUCUAGACUGCAGGCCUCGAGGUCAGGAGAGGCGAGUGGAAUACCGAGUGUAGAGGUGAAAUUCGUAGAUAUUCGGAGGAACACCAGUGGCGAAGGCGGCUCACUGGUCCAUUACUGACGCUGAGGUGCGAAAGCGUGGGGAGCAAACAGG
RNAcentral lists this ribosomal RNA (253 nucleotides) under uncultured bacterium. RNAcentral's name for it is "partial 16S ribosomal RNA". It matches the Rfam family "Bacterial small subunit ribosomal RNA", at positions 524 to 776 of the family's 1533-position model. The record is from RNAcentral.